CUUGGUCAUUUAGAGGAAGUAAAAGUCGUAACAAGGUUUCCGUAGGUGAACCUGCGGAAGGAUCAUUAAAAAAAUUAAUCGAUUCUUCAAUUACUGAAGAUAUUGAAUUAACCCCAAAUUGUGAUAAUUAUUGGCUUAAGAAUAAUUGAGGAUUGAAAAUGUUUUGGCAUUCGUAAGAAUGAUAAAACGGCCUCAACUAUUAUUUAAAAGAACCUGGCUUUAUUUUAUAUCUUUUGGCUUAAAAAAAUUGAUUUUAUAUCAAAAUAAUUAAAUCAAAACUUUCAACAACGGAUCUCUUGGUUCUCGCAUCGAUGAAGAACGCAGCGAAAUGCGAUACGUAAUGUGAAUUGCAGAUUCAGUGAAUCAUCGAAUCUUUGAACGCAUAUUGCACUCUUUGGUAUUCCGAAGAGUAUGCCUGUUUCAGUAUCAUAAAACUCUCAUAUAAUUAAAUUGCUUUUUUGGCUUUUUUAAUUUUAUGGAUUUGGGCUUUGCAUUUUUAACGAGUGCUUGCCUAAAAUUGAUUUCUUGAUGGUUGAAUCCCUUAGUAUUCAAUUUAGCUUAAUAGUUUUGGCCUUGUGCUAAAUCUUUGGCUUCAUUGAUGGAUUCAAUUCAUGCGAGAUUAACGAAUAAAUCAACUUAAAAAUUUGAUCUGAAAUCAGGUAGGACUACCCGCUGAACUUAAGCAUAUCAAUAAGCGGAGGAAAAGAAACUAACAAGGAUUCCCUCAGUAACGGCGAGUGAAGCGGGAAAAGCUCAAAUUUAAAAUCUGGCAAAAGCCCGAGUUGUAUUCUAAAGAGCCGUUUUCCUUGAACGCCAAGGCAAAAGUCCUCUGGAAAGGGGCAUCAUAGAGGGUGAGAAUCCCGUCUUUGGCCUUGGGCUUGUUCAUUUUGUGAUACGGCCUCUACGAGUCAGGUUGUUUGGGAAUGCAGCCUAAAAUGGGUGGUAAAUUUCAUCUAAAGCUAAAUAUUGGCGAGAGACCGAUAGCGAACAAGUACCGUGAGGGAAAGAUGAAAAGAACUUUGAAAAGAGAGUUAAACAGUACGUGAAAUUGUUGAAAGGGAAACGUUUGAAGCCAGUCAGCUGGCUUGUAAUCAAUCUAUCCUUUGGGGUGGAUGCACUUGCAAGUUUGCAGGUCAACGUCAAUUUGGUUUGGCUGGAAAAAAAUUAAGGGAAUGUGGCUACCUCGGUAGUGUUAUAGCCUUUAGUGAAAUACAGUCGACUGGAUUGAGGAACGCAGCCAGAAUGUGGGCCUUUUGGCUUCUAACUGGCUUAGGUCGUUGACUUAAUGGCUUUAAAUGACCCGUCUUGAAACACGGACC
This 1319-nucleotide ribosomal RNA is filed under the name uncultured fungus. RNAcentral's name for it is "eukaryotic LSU rRNA". The stretch from base 646 to 1319 matches the Rfam family "Eukaryotic large subunit ribosomal RNA", at positions 1 to 667 of the family's 3401-position model. Lineage: Eukaryota; Fungi. The record is from RNAcentral.